AUGCGAUACGUAAUGUGAAUUGCAGAAUUCAGUGAAUCAUCGAAUCUUUGAACGCACAUUGCGCCCGUCGGCAUUCCGACGGGCACGCCUGUCCGAGCGUCAUUGCACCCGUCAAGCCUCGCUUGGUGUUGGGGGACGUCGCGCGCGCACGCGCGACCCCCCCGGAACCCGUUGGCGGUGGCCCUUCGCCCCGAUCGUCGCGCACGUUACGAGCGAGCGCGGGGGGACGCCCGCCCAACCUUUGCGGCCCGUCACACGGCUGCAAAACCACACGCAACGCUUGACCUCGGAUCAGGCGGGGAUACCCGCUGAACUUAA
RNAcentral lists this unclassified non-coding RNA (318 nucleotides) under uncultured Arthrographis. RNAcentral's name for it is "partial contains 5.8S ribosomal RNA, internal transcribed spacer 2, and large subunit ribosomal RNA". The stretch from base 1 to 102 matches the Rfam family "5.8S ribosomal RNA", at positions 53 to 154 of the family's 154-position model. Lineage: Eukaryota; Fungi; Ascomycota; Dothideomycetes; Eremomycetales; Eremomycetaceae. The record is from RNAcentral.